RNAcentral lists this long non-coding RNA (374 nucleotides) under Mustela putorius furo (domestic ferret). RNAcentral's name for it is "lncRNA (ENSMPUG00000030010.1)". Lineage: Eukaryota; Metazoa; Chordata; Mammalia; Carnivora; Mustelidae. The record is from RNAcentral.
CAGAAACUUCUCAGAGAGGUCUCCACUCUGCUUUGGAUUACUCUGAACUGGGUCAUGUGCACACUGUUAGGACUGGCUCUGGGCAGAUUGCUUUUUGGCAUUUUUCUGCUGAGACUGAAUCUUCUGCUGUCCACGAGCCAUAUCCGCCACUCCUCACCGACCCCAGCCCGAGACGCGCCUCCCGGAGGCUCUGGCUGCCCCAAACCCGGCCUCACCUGGUCGUGAUAACCUGUGAUUCCAAUUAAAGAUUUUAAAAAAGAGAAGAGUUCAGCCCUUCAAGUAUUGGUUUGCCCUUCUUAAGCCAGAGGUAAAUAUAACACCUUUAUAAACUCUUGAUUAACAAGAUAAUUGAAGUUAGGUUAACUCUAUUUGCA